RNAcentral lists this small RNA (776 nucleotides) under Pan troglodytes (chimpanzee). Its description in RNAcentral is "retained intron". The record is from RNAcentral. Lineage: Eukaryota; Metazoa; Chordata; Mammalia; Primates; Hominidae.
UCAAUCACAGAACACUUUCCUACAGACAGUGGACAAGCCUGGUCAAUUUUCAUCAUAGUUCUUCAAGCUGCCACUACCAAACAAUGGAGAUAGCCCCAAAAGGAAACCUAUUGGCCAGCCCUGGUGUAGUCCAACCCCAUCUUUUAUCUGAUGGGGAAACUAGGUCUGGAGACAAAAGUGAUUUAACCAAGUUCAUGGAAAAGUCGUAGAGAAUCUAAAACGUGAUGCUCUUCUUCCAUACCAUGCCGUCAGCCCCUACGGGGUCCCAGGCUACGUGGUCCUGGACCUGAUGGAAAGCGACCUGCACCAGAUUAUCCACUCCUCACAGCCCCUCACACUGGAACACGUGCGCUACUUCCUGUACCAACUGCUGCGGGGCCUGAAGUACAUGCACUCGGCUCAGGUCAUCCACCGUGACCUCAAGCCCUCCAACCUAUUGGUGAAUGAGAACUGUGAGCUCAAGAUUGGUGACUUUGGUAUGGCUCGUGGCCUGUGCACCUCGCCCGCUGAACAUCAGUACUUCAUGACUGAGUAUGUGGCCACGCGCUGGUACCGUGCGCCCGAGCUCAUGCUCUCUUUGCAUGAGUAUACACAGGCUAUUGACCUCUGGUCUGUGGGCUGCAUCUUUGGUGAGAUGCUGGCCCGGCGCCAGCUCUUCCCAGGCAAAAACUACGUACACCAGCUACAGCUCAUCAUGAUGGUGCUGGGUACCCCAUCACCAGCCGUGAUUCAGGCUGUGGGGGCUGAGAGGGUGCGGGCCUAUAUCCAGAGCUUGC